UACGUAGGAUGCAAACGUUGUUCGGAUUUACUGGGCGUAAAGCGCGUGUAGGCGGCUUUGCAAGUCGGAUGUGAAAGCCCACGGCUCAACCGUGGAAGUGCAUCCGAAACUGCAUGGCUCGAGUCUCGGAGAGGAAGGUGGAAUGCUUGGUGUAGAGGUGAAAUUCGUAGAUAUCAAGCAGAACACCUGCGGCGAAGGCGGCCUUCUGGACGAUGACUGACGCUGAGACGCGAAAGCGUGGGGAGCAAACAGG
Molecule: ribosomal RNA, 253 nt
Filed under: uncultured bacterium
Lineage: Bacteria
Description: partial 16S ribosomal RNA
Rfam family: Bacterial small subunit ribosomal RNA
Source: RNAcentral